RNAcentral lists this ribosomal RNA (253 nucleotides) under uncultured bacterium. RNAcentral's name for it is "partial 16S ribosomal RNA". It matches the Rfam family "Bacterial small subunit ribosomal RNA", at positions 524 to 776 of the family's 1533-position model. The record is from RNAcentral.
UACGGAGGGUGCAAACGUUGCUCGGAAUCAUUGGGCGUAAAGCGCACGUAGGCGGCCUGUUAAGUCGGAUGUGAAAGCCCCGGGCUCAACCCGGGAAGUGCAUUCGAAACUGGCGGGCUUGAAUAUGGAAGAGGGUCGCGGAAUUCCCGGUGUAGAGGUGAAAUUCGUAGAUAUCGGGAGGAGCACCAGUGGCGAAGGCGGCGACCUGGGCCAAUAUUGACGCUGAGGUGCGAAAGCGUGGGGAGCAAACAGG